RNAcentral lists this long non-coding RNA (332 nucleotides) under Physcomitrium patens. RNAcentral's name for it is "long non-coding RNA (PPAT_LNC004057)". The record is from RNAcentral. Lineage: Eukaryota; Viridiplantae; Streptophyta; Bryopsida; Funariales; Funariaceae.
UUUUGAAAGAUCAAAGAGCUAGCUUCAUGCUUCGGGCGGGGAAAGAAGACAUAAAAUUGGGUUUUCUUUCUUCAUAGGGUUUUGGGAAGACUGAGGCAAUCGUUGCUGAAGUCAGUGUUGUAAUGGUGAAUCGGGAUUUUUAAUGAAGUGGAUUUGAUUACUCUUGACUGUUUUGUGAAAUCAAGUUAUGUCUAUGAUGAAGAAUUAAAAGGGUGUCUAUAGGAUUGAGUAUGCGGAGUGAAUGAAAUUUAUUGGAUUAAUCUAACGAGACAAUCAGUGGAUACAAGUUCGUGAGUAUAAAGCGGUAUCAAAGAUUAGCAGUUUGGGUUGUU